AGACUCUGUGCGCGUGCAUAUCAAUAAGCGGAGGAAAAGAAACUAACAAGGAUUCCCCUAGUAACGGCGAGUGAAGCGGGAAGAGCUCAAAUUUGAAAUCUUCAAGGUUUACCUUGACGAAUUGUAGUUUAAAGAAGUGUUUUCUGUUAGAGAGUAGGUAAAAGUUCUUUGGAAUAGGACAUCAUAGAGGGUGAGAAUCCCGUAUUUGACCUAUUCUUUCUAGCUGUGUGAUACACUUUCAAAGAGUCGGAUUGUUUGGGAAUGCAGUCCAAAAUGGGUGGUAAAUUUCAUCUAAAGCUAAAUAUUGGCGAGAGACCGAUAGCGAACAAGUACCGUGAGGGAAAGAUGAAAAGAACUUUGAAAAGAGAGUUAAACAGUACGUGAAAUUGUCAAAAGGGAAGCGUUUGACACCAGUGUUGUUUUUCCGAAAAUCAAUUACGAAUGUUUUAUUUUGAGAAGUUAUGACUUCAUCGGCUUGCUUCUCUCUUUAUGAAACUUUCUUAAUGCACUUUUCGGUUAACAAGUCAACAUCAAUUUCUUUUGUUGUAAAAGGGUAUGAGGAAGGUGGCUUUCUUUUCGGAGAAAGUGUUUAUAGCCUUGUACCUCUGCAAUCGGAGAGAUUGAGGUCUGCAGCGUAGAUCCUUCGGGGUUAGAUACAUUUGUGCUAAGUUAUAGCUUUUCAUAGACAACUUGUUGACUAUGUUUAGUCUUGUAGCUUACUCGCUUAUGCUAUUUUACCUACGCUUAGGAUGUUGAACUCUAUCACACACAG
Molecule: ribosomal RNA, 772 nt
Filed under: uncultured Neocallimastigales
Lineage: Eukaryota; Fungi; Neocallimastigomycota; Neocallimastigomycetes; Neocallimastigales
Description: partial large subunit ribosomal RNA
Rfam family: Eukaryotic large subunit ribosomal RNA
Source: RNAcentral